RNAcentral lists this non-coding RNA (65 nucleotides) under unclassified sequences. RNAcentral's name for it is "RAGATH-18 RNA". It matches the Rfam family "RAGATH-18 RNA". Rfam says of the family: Actinobacteria, Firmicutes, Fusobacteria, Thermotogae (1 example). Nearby to self-cleaving ribozyme genes The record is from Rfam by way of RNAcentral.
GCUGUGGAGAGCAAAAACAAAUACAAGUAGAUAUUUUACCAAAAGUAUGUUCGUUGAAUCAGCAA